Molecule: small RNA, 29 nt
Filed under: Bombyx mori (domestic silkworm)
Lineage: Eukaryota; Metazoa; Arthropoda; Insecta; Lepidoptera; Bombycidae
Description: ovarian small RNA-30801
Source: RNAcentral
UGAACUACGAAAGGAUCAUUCCGAUUCAG